CGGGGCUUAAAGUCUUGUAAUUGGAAUGAUGGGAAUUUAAACCUCUUCCAGAGUAUCAAUUGGAGGGCAAGUCUGGUGCCAGCAGCCGCGGUAAUUCCAGCUCCAAUAGCGUAUAUUAAAAUUGUUGCAGUUAAAAAGCUCGUAGUUGAAUUUCUGCUGCAUUGCUUGUGUCCCUCUGGGGUCUGUGCAUGUGGCUUUUUUCGGACGGAGUUUCUUUGUCUGAAUGUUUACUUUGAGAAAAUUAGAGUGCUCAAAGCAGGCUUUCGCCUUGAAUAGUUUAGCAUGGAAUAAUAAAGUAGGACUUUGGUUCUAUUUUGUUGGUUUUAGGUACCAAAGUAAUGGUUAAUAGGAACAGUUGGGGGCAUUCAUAUUUAACUGUCAGAGGUGAAAUUCUUAGAUUUGUUAAAGACGAACUACUGCGAAAGCAUUUGCCAAGGAUGUUUUCAUUAAUCAAGAAC
Molecule: ribosomal RNA, 458 nt
Filed under: Theileria annulata
Lineage: Eukaryota; Apicomplexa; Aconoidasida; Piroplasmida; Theileriidae
Description: SSU rRNA
Rfam family: Eukaryotic small subunit ribosomal RNA
Source: RNAcentral